AAACCCAUCAAAUUUUGGCGUAAUUGCCAGAGAAUUAAAAUUAUACUAAUUUAAUUCUUUUUAUGACCAAGUUUGAUCGUGAGAAAGCACUCCUUUAUGAUCGAAAAUAAAAAAGACCACUAAGAGUUUGAGAAAACAAAGUAAGCUGAAGAGAAAAGUGAGUAAUUAAGACUUAAUCCUUUAAGGCAAUAGUUCAAUCACUGAACCUGAAGCAGAAGAAGU
Molecule: long non-coding RNA, 222 nt
Filed under: Carica papaya (papaya)
Lineage: Eukaryota; Viridiplantae; Streptophyta; Magnoliopsida; Brassicales; Caricaceae
Description: long non-coding RNA (CPAP_LNC007906)
Source: RNAcentral